AGAAUUGUGUUCUGAGAUUCUUUCAACUGCUGCCUAUUCUUAUCUUCUAGCCUUUGCUUCUCAAACUCCUUCUUUUUCCUCAACCUUCUCUCCUCCUCUGUCUCCACCCUCCCGGUUGGUCCAUUCACCUUCUUCCCCCCAGGUGGAACUGGUGGCUUCUGCAUCUUUUGUUUGGCUACACCACUGUGACUUGAAUGCCCAUGUUGCCUCCUUUCCUCAGGCCCCACUUUAU
RNAcentral lists this unclassified non-coding RNA (232 nucleotides) under Hevea brasiliensis (rubber tree). Lineage: Eukaryota; Viridiplantae; Streptophyta; Magnoliopsida; Malpighiales; Euphorbiaceae. The record is from RNAcentral.